RNAcentral lists this ribosomal RNA (494 nucleotides) under uncultured bacterium. Its description in RNAcentral is "partial 16S ribosomal RNA". It matches the Rfam family "Bacterial small subunit ribosomal RNA", at positions 28 to 507 of the family's 1533-position model. The record is from RNAcentral.
GACGAACGCUGGCGGCGUGCUUAACACAUGCAAGUCGAACGGAAAGGCCUGCUUUCCUUUGUGUUUUGCGGGUACUCGAGUGGCGAACGGGUGAGUAACACGUGAGUGACCUGCCCCCAACUUGGGUCUAAGCCUGGGAAACUGGGUCUAAUCAUCGAUAGGACUGCAGGGUGGUGCCUGUGGUGGAAAACGAUUUUCUAGUGGUUGGGGAUGAGCUCGCGGCCUAUCAGCGUGUUGGUGGGGUAAUGGCCUACCAAGGCGGCGACGGGGAGCCAGCCGGGGAGGGGGGACGGGCACAUUGAGACUGGGAUACGGCACCGACGCCAAGGAGAAGCAGCGGUUGGGAAUAUUGGAGAAUGGGCGGGAGCCUGAUGCAGCGAGGCCGUGUAGGAGAUGACGGGCUUGGGGUGGUAAACUGCUUUCGACGGCGAGGAAGACACCUGGUUGGAAGGGUGGUGACGGUAGUGGUAGAAGAAGCACCGGCUAACUACGUG